RNAcentral lists this ribosomal RNA (120 nucleotides) under Ipomoea nil (Japanese morning glory). The record is from RNAcentral. Lineage: Eukaryota; Viridiplantae; Streptophyta; Magnoliopsida; Solanales; Convolvulaceae.
GGAUGCGAUCAUACCAGCACUAAUGCACCGGAUCCCAUCAGAACUCCGAAGUUAAGCGUGCUUGGGCGAGAGUAGUACUAGGAUGGGUGACCCCCUGGGUAAGUCCUCGUGUUGCAUCCC